AGAACGAACGCUGGCGGCAUGCCUAAUACAUGCAAGUCGAACGAGAUCUUCGGAUCUAGUGGCGCACGGGUGCGUAACGCGUGGGAAUCUACCCUUGGGUUCGGAAUAACAGUUGGAAACGACUGCUAAUACCGGAUGAUGACGAAAGUCCAAAGAUUUAUCGCCCAGGGAUGAGCCCGCGUAGGAUUAGCUAGUUGGUGAGGUAAAGGCUCACCAAGGCUACGAUCCUUAGCUGGUCUGAGAGGAUGAUCAGCCACACUGGGACUGAGACACGGCCCAGACUCCUACGGGAGGCAGCAGUAGGGAAUAUGGACAAUGGGGGCAACCCUGAUCCAGCAAUGCCGCGUGAGUGAUGAAGGCCUUAGGGUUGUAAAGCUCGUUUACCCGAGAUGAUAAUGACAGUAUCGGAGAAUAAGCUACCGGCUAACUCCGUGCCAGCAGCCGC
RNAcentral lists this ribosomal RNA (445 nucleotides) under uncultured soil bacterium. RNAcentral's name for it is "bacterial SSU rRNA". It matches the Rfam family "Bacterial small subunit ribosomal RNA", at positions 26 to 518 of the family's 1533-position model. The record is from RNAcentral.